Molecule: transfer-messenger RNA, 403 nt
Filed under: Chloroflexota bacterium
Lineage: Bacteria; Bacillati; Chloroflexota
Description: Chloroflexi bacterium transfer-messenger RNA
Rfam family: transfer-messenger RNA
About the family: Bacterial tmRNA, also known as 10Sa RNA or SsrA, is named for its dual tRNA and mRNA-like properties. Its role is to liberate the mRNA from a stalled ribosome.
Source: RNAcentral
GGGGAUGAUAGGUUUCGACGGGGAAGGUUAGCUGUGGGCGGCGAGCCGGGGAGGCUCCGUCCCCGCAAUCCCAGGAGCAAACCAUCAAGUGCCAAUAAUACGGCCAAUCAGUGGGCGCCAGUAGCCGUCGCAGCGUAAGCUGUAACGUUACCUAAACCCCAAACCUGACCGGGAGAUCCGGUCACGCCCCUCCGGCAUUUCGCUGGCGUGCUGGGGUCAGGCGACAGAAAGUCAGCGUGCAUCUUGCCCGACGCCGAUAAAGUAAGAUAAAGACGCUUCGGCUGGUGCGGAUGUGGCGCGGUCGGCUGCGACCCUCCGCACGAGAACGAAAACACCGACUAUGUUCGUAGAUGCUCACAGCGGAAUUCUUCGGACGCGGGUUCGAUUCCCGCCAUCUCCACUU